This 22-nucleotide microRNA is filed under the name Blattella germanica (German cockroach). RNAcentral's name for it is "Bge-Mir-193-P1_5p* (star (passenger))". Lineage: Eukaryota; Metazoa; Arthropoda; Insecta; Blattodea; Blattellidae. The record is from RNAcentral.
UGGGCCUUAGCGGUUCAGUGGG